UAAUACGUAGGGGGCAAGCGUUGUCCGGAAUCAUUGGGCGUAAAGAGCGUGUAGGCGGCCCGACAAGUCCGCCGUGAAAGUCCGAGGCUCAACCUCGGAAUGCCGGUGGAAACUGUCGGGCUUGAGUUCGGAAGAGGCGAGUGGAAUUCCUGGUGUAGCGGUGAAAUGCGCAGAUAUCAGGAGGAACACCAAUGGCGAAGGCAGCUCGCUGGGACGACACUGACGCUGAGACGCGAAAGCGUGGGGAGCAAACAGGAUUAGAUACCCUGGUAGUCCACGCCGUAAACGAUGGCCACUAGGUGUGGGGGGUGUCGACUCCCCCCGUGCCGGCGCUAACGCAUUAAGUGGCCCGCCUGGGGAGUACGGCCGCAAGGCUA
This 377-nucleotide ribosomal RNA is filed under the name uncultured bacterium. Its description in RNAcentral is "bacterial SSU rRNA". It matches the Rfam family "Bacterial small subunit ribosomal RNA", at positions 521 to 896 of the family's 1533-position model. The record is from RNAcentral.